CAGUAGCCGCGGUAAUGCGGAGGAUGCAAGCGUUAUCCGAAAUGAUUGGGCGUAAGGCGUCUGUAGGUGGCUCUUCAAGUCCGCCGACAAAUCCCAGGGCUCAACCCUGGACAGGCGAUGGAAAAUACCAAGCUGGAGUACAGUAGGGGCAGAGGGAUUUCCGGUAGAGCGGUGAAAUGCGUUGAGAUUGGAAAGAACACCAACGGCGAAAGCACUCUGUUGGGCCGACACUGACACUGAGAGACGAAAGCUAAGGGAGAAAAUGGGAUUAGAUACCCCGGUAGUCCCUGUCUCUUAUACC
This 301-nucleotide ribosomal RNA is filed under the name uncultured bacterium. Its description in RNAcentral is "partial 16S ribosomal RNA". It matches the Rfam family "Bacterial small subunit ribosomal RNA", at positions 509 to 808 of the family's 1533-position model. The record is from RNAcentral.